RNAcentral lists this ribosomal RNA (253 nucleotides) under uncultured bacterium. RNAcentral's name for it is "partial 16S ribosomal RNA". It matches the Rfam family "Bacterial small subunit ribosomal RNA", at positions 524 to 776 of the family's 1533-position model. The record is from RNAcentral.
UACGGAGGGUGCAAGCGUUGUUCGGAUUUACUGGGCGUAAAGCGCGCGCAGGCGGAUAAUCAAGUCAGAUGUGAAAUCCCGGGGCUCAACCCCGGAACUGCGUCUGAAACUGGUAAUCUAGAGUCUCACAGGGGGUAGGGGAAUUUCACGUGUAGGGGUAAAAUCCGUAGAGAUGUGAAGGAACACCGGUGGCGAAGGCGCCUACCUGGAUGAGUACUGACGCUGAGGCGCGAAAGCGUGGGUAGCGAAAGGG